RNAcentral lists this long non-coding RNA (1518 nucleotides) under Marmota monax (woodchuck). The record is from RNAcentral. Lineage: Eukaryota; Metazoa; Chordata; Mammalia; Rodentia; Sciuridae.
UUUUUAUCUUGCUAAUUUAUAUGCUUUAUAUAAAAAUUAUAUCUCUAAAUAAAAUUCAAGAAAGUCUGAGGUAUAUUCUUCAGCCAUAUCAAGUGUCUACUCUCAUCUUCCAAAGGUAAGGCAUUGUCUAAUGCACAACAAAAUUAUUUUAUAACUACUUCUGAUUCCUAAUAUCAAAAUAUGGGUUUUACAGUGAGUACUUUCACCUCAAAUAAUUUUUUUGCUGCCAAAAUAACUUUUUAAUAGCAACAUGUUACUACUUCUAUAGUGUACAAUGCAAACUAACCUCUAAGAAGAGCUAAAACAUUUCCUGUUUAUCUAAAUAUAAAUUCCUCUCUCAUAGGUAACACAGACAACAUAGCUUAAGCUAGGAUGACUUAUGCAAAGACACAAGACUGAAUUCAACAUUUUAGAGGGUUUUAAAAAAAUACUUUUUAAUCAUAAUUUCAAAAAUUAAAUUGUCUGAAUUUUACACCAUUUUAAUGGAAUGGUUUGAUAUUAUACAUUGGUCUGAGUUUCUUUGUGGCUGUUAUGAUUUGAAUAUGAAGUAUCCCCCAAAGCUUUUAUGUUAAUACAGUAAUGUUCAGGGUGAAACGAUUGGAUUACAGGAGCUGUAGUCACUCAUCCUAGUUUGAAUGGACUGACUGGGUGGUAAAUGUAGAGAGGUGGAGUGUGGCUGGAGAAUGUGGGUCAUUGGGGAUGUGCCCCAGAAGAGCAAGAGGGUAUGGCCCCUUCAUGCACUCCUGCUUCCUUGCUGUUUUGAGGGACCAGUUUCCCUCUGCCCUGCGUUUCUCCAUGAUAUUCUGCCUCACCUUGAGCUCAGAGCAAUGGAAUCAGCCAUGUAUGGACUGAGUCACCUGAUACCAUGAGUAAAAGUAAACUUUUCCUACUCUGAAUUGUUCUGGUCACGUAUCUUAGUCACAGGAGCAGAAAGCUAACUAAAACAGUAGCCGUACUCCAAAAAAUCAUGAGAAGCUCAAAUACUUUUCAGUCAUUCUUGCCAUUCCUAAGGAGUUGGCUUCAUUCAUAAGGUCUCAAAUGACUCACCACUAAGUCACAUCUCUACCAUCAGAAAGAAGUAAAGAAGGGAACAACAUGUCCCAUCUCCUUAAACCCAGAAACUGCACACAUUACACCUAGUUACAUCUUAUUGUCCAGAAUUCAGUCACUCUACUUACAAGGAAAACUGGAAAUACAAUCUUUACUUCUACUGUGGAAGAUGUCAAGGGAUGGUCACGAUGUCUGCCAACAGAAAGCAAUUUUAAAUGUCAAAAAGUAUAAGUCAGGGCAGGGGUUGGUGCUCAGUAGUACAGCACUUGCCUAGCACAUGUGAGGCACUGGGUUGGAUCCUUAGCACCACCUAAAAAUAAAUAAGUAAAAUGAAGGUAUUGUGUCCAUCUACAACUAAAAAAUAUAUACAUAAAAAAGAAAGUAAAUUUUUUAGAUACUUUAUUUUGAUGAUUAUUCAUGUGUUUUUAAUUCUAAAUAUAAUAAAUUUGGAAUACAUGAAGAUAAUAA